This 672-nucleotide ribosomal RNA is filed under the name Triticum aestivum (bread wheat). RNAcentral's name for it is "partial small subunit ribosomal RNA". The record is from RNAcentral. Lineage: Eukaryota; Viridiplantae; Streptophyta; Magnoliopsida; Poales; Poaceae.
AUGGGUUUCCGUGACAUCCACUGUUUCAACCUGGCUCUGCUUGCAAAACAAGCAUGGCGUCUCCUUGAUAAUCCUGACUCCUUGUGUGCUACUAUUCUAAGGGCCAAGUACUAUCCUAAUGGUGAUUUGCUGAACUCCAAGCCAAAGCAUGGUGCUUCCUUCACCUGGCAAAGCAUUAUGGCAGGCAUCACUACUCUUAAGCGAGGUUAUAUUUGGCGAGUGGGGGAUGGACAUAACAUCAAUAUUUGGGAAGAUGCCUGGAUCCCAAAUUGUGCCUCUAGGAAGAUUAUGACACCUAGGGGGGGGCAUUUGUUAUCAAAAGUCGUAGAUUUAAUUGACCCAGUCUCCAAUAAUUGGGAUGAGGACCUGAUUAGACAAACUAUGUGGACCGUUGACGUACAACGAAUUCUUUCAAUCGCAAUUUCGCAACAUAAUAUGACGGAUUUUAUUGCCUGGAGUUAUACGAAAAAUGGUAUGUUUUCGGUACGGUCUGCUUAUUUAGUGGAGUGGAACUAUCAAUAUGGGAGCAAGCUAAAAUAUUCCAAUGGGAUGGGACGGAGCACACCUAAUCCUAUAUGGUGUCAGAUAUGGAAGUUGUCUUGUCUGGCUAAAGUCAAUUUUUUUAUGGCGGACACUACAUGGCACUCUCCCAUGCCGGGCAACACUCACUAA